CGAGAGUUUGCGAGGCACCUCCGUUUGCCAAAAAUAGGCUGCGGGCUAGGCCGUGACCAAGAAUAAAUGUCCGAAGGCCGGGGCGCCAAGUUCGUCCAGCGGAAAAAGGCCACAAAAAUGGGUGGGCUAUAGCCUUGGGGUGUGGGGCUGACCAACUUCGUCCGCCGGACUCGGAAUGGCGCGAGACUUUGCGAGGCGCCUCCCUGUGCCAAAAAUAGGCCGCGGACAAAGCCGCACCCAAAAAUAACCGCCCGAAGGCCGGGGCGCCAAGUUCGUCCAGCGGAAAAAGGCCACAAAAACGGGUGGGCUAUAGCCUUUGGGGGUGGUGCUGGCCAACUUCCUCCGCCGGACUCGGAAUGGUGCGAGACUUUGUGAGGCGCCUCCGUGUGCCAAAAAUAGGCCGCGGGCACAGCGGCGCCCAAAAAUAACCGCUCGAAGGCCGGGGCGCCAAGUUCGUCCGGCGGAAAAAGCCCACAAAAACGGGUGGGCUAUAGCCUUGGGGGGUGUGGCUGGCCAACUUCGUCUGCCGGACUCGGAAUGGCGUCAGACUUUGCGAGGCACCUCCGUGUGCCAAAAACAGGCCGUGGGCACAGUCGCACCCAAAAAUAACCGCCCGAAGGCCGGGGCGCCAAGUUCGUCCAGCGGAAAAAGCCCCCAAAAACGGGUGGGCUAUAGCCUUGGGGGGUGGGGCUGGCCAACAUCGUCCGCCGGACUCGGAAUGGCGCGAGACUUUGCGAGGUGCCUCCGUGUGCCAAAAUUAGGCCGCGGGCACAGCCACACUCAAAAAUAACCGCCCGAAGGCCGGGGCGCCAAUUUCGUCCAGCGGAAAAAGGCCACAAAAACGGGUGGGCUAUAGCCUUGGGGGGUGGGACUGGCCAACUUCAUCCGCCGGACUCGGAAUGCCGCGAGACUUUACGAGGGGCCCCCGCGUGCAAAAAAUAGGCCACGGGCAAAGCCGCGCCCAAAAACAACCCCCCGAAGGCCGGGGCGCCAAGUUCGUCCAGCGGAAAAAGCCCACAAAAACGGGUGGGCUAUAGCCUCGGGGGGUGGGGUUGGCCAACUUCGUCCGCCGGACUCGGAAUGGCGCGAGACUUUGCGAGGCACCUCCGCGUGCCAAAACUAGGCCAUGGGCUCAGCCGCGCCCAAAAAUAACCGCCCGAAGGCCGGGGCGCCAUGUUCGUCCAGCGGAAAAAAUCCACAAAAACGGGGGGGCUAUAGCCUUGGGGGGUGGGGCUGGCCAACUUCGUCCGCCGGACUCGCAAUGGCGCUAGACUUUGCGAGGCACCUCCGUUUGCCAAAAAUAGGCCACGGGCACAGCCGCGCCCAAAAAUAACCGCCGAACGCCGGGGCGCCAAGUUCGUCCAGCGGAAAAAAGCCACAAAAACGGGUGGGCUAUAGCCUUGGGGGGUGGGGCUGGCCAACUUCGUCCGCCGGACUAGUAAUGGCGCGAGCCUUUGCGAGGCGCCUCCGUGUGCCAAAAAUAGGCCACGGGCACAGCCGCGCCCAAAAAUAACCGCCGAAAGCCGGGGCGCCCAGUUCGUCCAGCGGAAAAAAGCCACAAAAACGGGUGGGCUAUAGCCUUGGGGGGUGGGGCUGGCCAACUGCGUCGGCCGGACUCGGAAUGGCGUGAGACUUUGCGAGGCACCUCCGUGUGCCAAAAACAGGCCGCGGGCACAGUCGUACCCAAAAAUAACCGCCCGAAGGCCGGGGCGCCAAGUUCGUCCAGCGGAAAAAGCCCCCAAAAACGGGUGGGCUAUAGCCUUGGGGGGUGGGGCUGGCCAACAUCGUCCGCCGGACUCGGAAUGGUGCGAGACUUUGCGAGGCACCUCCGGGUGCCAAAAAUAGGCCGCGGGCACAGCCGUACCCAAAAAUAACCGCCCGAAGGCCGGGGCGCGAAGUUCGUCCAGCGGAAAAAAGUCACAAAAACGGGUGGGCUAUAGCCUUGGGGGGUGGGGCUGGCCAACUUCGUCACCCGGACUAGGAAUGGCGCGAGACUUUGCGAGGCACCUACGUGUGCCAAAAAUAGGCCGCGGGCACAGCGGCGCCCAAAAAUAACCGCUCGAAGGCCGGGGCGCCAAGUUCGUCCGGCGGAAAAAGCCCACAAAAACGGGUGGGCUAUAGCGAUGGGGGGUGUGGCUGGCCGACUUCGUCUGCAGGACUCGGAAUGGCGUGAGACUUUGCGAGGCACCUCCGUGUACCAAAAACAGGCCGCGGGCACAGUCGCACCCAAAAAUAACCGCCCGAAGGCCGGGGCGCCAAGACUUUGCGAGGCACCUCCGUGUGCCAAAAACAGGCCGCGGGCACAGUCGCACCCAAAAAUAACCGCCCGAAGGCCGGGGCGCCAAGUUCGUCCAGCGGAAAAAAGUCACAACAACGGGUGGGUUAUAGCCUUGGGGGGUGGGGCUGGCCAACUUCGUCCCCCGGACUAGGAAUGGCGCGAGACUUUGCGAGGCACCUACGUGUGCCAAAAAUAGGCCGCGGGCAAAGCGGCGCCCAAAAAUAACCGCUCGAAGGCCGGGGCGCCAAGUUCGUCCGGCGGAAAAAGCCCACAAAAACGGGUGGGCUAUAGCCUUGGGGGGUGUGGCUGGCCAACUUCGUCCGCCUGACUCGGAAUGGCGUGAUACUUUGCGAGGCACCUCCGUGUGCCAAAAACAAGCCGCGGGCACAGUCACACCCAAAAAUAACCGCCCGAAGGCCGGGGCGCCAAGUUCGUCCAGCGGAAAAAGCCCCCAAACACGGGUGGGCUAUAGCCUUGGGGGGUGGGGCUGGCCAACAUCGUCCGCCGGACUCGGAAUGGUGCGAGACUUUGCGAGACGCCUCCGUGUGCCAAAACUAGGCUGCGGGCACAGCCGCACUCAAAAAUAACCGCCCGAAGGCCGGGGCGCCAAGUUCGUCCGGCGGAAAAAGCCCACAAAAACGGGUGGGCUAUAGCCUUGGGGGGUGGGGCUGGCCAACUUCGUCCGCCGGACUCGUAAUGGCGCGAGACUUUGCGAGGCGCCUCCGUGUGCCAAAAAUAGGCCAUGGGCAGAGCCGCGCCCAAAAAUAACCGCCGAAGGCCGGGGCGCCAAGUUCGUCCAGCGGAAAAAGCCCCCAAAAACGGGUGGGCUAUAGCCUUGGGGGGUGGGGCUGGCCAACAUCGUCCGCCGGACUCGGAAUGGCGCGAGAGUUUGCGAGGCACCUCCGUGUGCCAAAAUUAGGCCGCGGGCACAGCCACACUCAAAAAUAACCGCCCGAAGGCCGGGGCGCCAAGUUCGUCCAGCGGAAAAAGGCCACAAAAACGGGUGGGCUAUUGCCUUGGGGGGUGGGGCUGACCAACUUCGUCCGCCGGACUCGGAAUGGCGCGAGACUUUGCGAGGCGCCUCCCUGUGCCAAAAAUAGGCCGCGGACAAAGCCGCGCCCAAAAAUAACCGCCCGAAGGCCGGGGCGCCAAGUUCGUCCAGCGGAAAAAGGCCACAAAAACGGGUGGGCUAUAGCCUUUGGGGGUGGUGCUGGCCAACUUCGUCCGCCGGACUCGGAAUGGCGCGAGACUUUGCGAGGUGCCUCCGUUUGCCAAAAAUAGGCCGCGGACACAGCCGCGCCAAAAAAUAACAGCCCGAAGGCCGGGGCGCCAAGUUCGUCCAGCGGAAAAAGGCCACAAAAACGGGUGGGCUAUAGCCUUGGGGGGUGGGGCUGGCCAACUUCGUCCGCCGGACUCGGAAUGGCGCGAGAGUUUGCGAGGCACCUCCGUUUGCCAAAAAUAGGCCGCGGCCAAAGCCGCGCCCAAAAAUAACUGCCCGAUGGCCAGGGCGCCAAGUUCGUCCAGCGGAAAAAGGCCACAAAAACGGGUGGGCAAUAGCCUUGGUGGGUGGGGCUGGCCCACUUCGUCCGCCGGACUCGGAAUGGCACGAGACUUUGCGAGGGGGCUCCGUGUGCCAAAAAUUGGCUGCGGUCAAAGCCGUGCCCAAAAAUAACCGCCCGAAGGCCGGGGCGCGAAGUUCGUCCAGCGCAAAAAAGUCACAAAAACGGGUGGGCUAUAGCCUUGGGGGGUGGGGCUGGCCAACUUCGUCCCCCGGACUAGGAAUGGCGCGAGACUUUGCGAGGCACCUACGUGUGCCAAAAAUAGGCCGCGGGCACAGCGGCGCCCAAAAAUAACCGCUCGAAGGCCGGGGCGCCAAGUUCGUCCGGCGGAAAAAGCCCACAAAAACGGGUGGGCUAUAGCGAUGGGGGGUGUGGCUGGCCGACUUCGUCUGCCGGACUCGGAAUGGCGUGAGACUUUGCGAGGCACCUCCGUGUACCAAAAACAGGCCGCGGGCACAGUCGCACCCAAAAAUAACCGCCCGAAGGCCGGGGCGCCAAGACUUUGCGAGGCACCUCCGUGUGCCAAAAACAGGCCGCGGGCACAGUCGCACCCAAAAAUAACCGCCCGAAGGCCGGGGCGCCAAGUUCGUCCAGCGGAAAAAAGUCACAACAACGGGUGGGUUAUAGCCUUGGGGGGUGGGGCUGGCCAACUUCGUCCCCCGGACUAGGAAUGGCGCGAGACUUUGCGAGGCACCUACGUGUGCCAAAAAUAGGCCGCGGGCAAAGCGGCGCCCAAAAAUAACCGCUCGAAGGCCGGGGCGCCAAGUUCGUCCGGCGGAAAAAGCCCACAAAAACGGGUGGGCUAUAGCCUUGGGGGGUGUGGCUGGCCAACUUCGUCCGCCUGACUCGGAAUGGCGUGAUACUUUGCGAGGCACCUCCGUGUGCCAAAAACAGGCCGCGGGCACAGUCACACCCAAAAAUAACCGCCCGAAGGCCGGGGCGCCAAGUUCGUCCAGCGGAAAAAGCCCCCAAACACGGGUGGGCUAUAGCCUUGGGGGGUGGGGCUGGCCAACAUCGUCCGCCGGACUCGGAAUGGUGCGAGACUUUGCUAGACGCCUCCGUGUGCCAAAACUAGGCUGCGGGCACAGCCGCACUCACAAAUAACCGCCCGAAGGCCGGGGCGCCAAGUUCGUCCAGCGGAAAAAGCCCACAAAAACGGGUGGGCUAUAGCCUUGGGGGGUGGGGCUGGCCAACUUCGUCCGCCGGACUCA
RNAcentral lists this long non-coding RNA (5048 nucleotides) under Citrus x clementina. RNAcentral's name for it is "Citrus clementina (C. clementina) long non-coding RNA (CCLE_LNC001235)". The record is from RNAcentral. Lineage: Eukaryota; Viridiplantae; Streptophyta; Magnoliopsida; Sapindales; Rutaceae.